RNAcentral lists this ribosomal RNA (120 nucleotides) under uncultured bacterium. RNAcentral's name for it is "partial 16S ribosomal RNA". It matches the Rfam family "Bacterial small subunit ribosomal RNA", at positions 215 to 334 of the family's 1533-position model. The record is from RNAcentral.
GGGUUCGAGGAGGGGCCCGCGGCCGAUUAGCUAGCUGGUGGGGUAACGGCCUACCAGGGCGUCGAUCGGUAGCUGGUCUCAGAGGAUGAUCAGCCAGACUGGGACUGCGAGACGGCCCAG